Molecule: ribosomal RNA, 342 nt
Filed under: Triticum aestivum (bread wheat)
Lineage: Eukaryota; Viridiplantae; Streptophyta; Magnoliopsida; Poales; Poaceae
Description: partial small subunit ribosomal RNA
Source: RNAcentral
AUGAAUAUAUUAUCUUGGAACUGCCAGGGGGCGGGGAACCGCCAGACAGUUCGCGAGGUGUUGGCCCUCUCUAAAGCCAAUAACCCCAAGCUUGUUUUCCUUUGUGAAACAAGGCAAGAUUCAGUUAAGGUACAGAAACUCAAGUGGAGACUUGGGUUGAAAGGAUUUCAUGGCGUCAGUAGUGAUGGAAGAAGUGGAGGUUUAGCAUUGUUUUGGGACGAGUCUCUAACAGUGACAGUCAUGGACUCGUGCAAUCGUUACAUAGAUGUCCAGAUUGUAGAUGGUGGCACCGGGGUCUCUUGGCGAGGGACUUUCGUCUACGGUGAGCCGAGAGUCGAGAAC